Long non-coding RNA from Saccostrea cuccullata (small rock oyster), 715 nucleotides. RefSeq lists it as uncharacterized. The record is from RefSeq and is a predicted model, not a curated record. The transcript is spliced from 2 exons. NCBI's taxonomy places the organism in Eukaryota, Metazoa, Mollusca, Bivalvia, Ostreida, Ostreidae.
CUCCACAGGAAGUAAUGCUGCUGCCUCAGAGGAUGCUUUUGCCAACUUUGCCUACUUUAGUCCAAGCAAGUUUGAUGAUAAAGGAGCCUGGAGUUGAGAAGUCUAAAGUUAAAAGACAAUGUUUACAUGAGGGACCACGAGAUCGGGAUGAUGACAAAGAUUGAAGGGUGUUCACACUUAGGGGCGUGGUUUUGAGUGCUACAUGAUUGUUUCUUCCUGUGACGCCACAACAAACCUUCACAACUGUUGUAGAGUUCUCUCAUUGAUUGAUAUAGAAUAUAAACUGCUGAUGGAUUUUCUGUCAACACUAAGACAAGUAUUAUCAACUUAUGUCAUGUUUUAGUUCCUACGGUAUAGAUAAGUGGAGGAGGAAACAUGGGGAGAUAUAUGAGUUACAUCCCUUGUUAUUUUUGUGAAUAUGUCAGCCACUGUUGUGUAAUAAAGCAACAAAAACCUUGUAAAGUGCAAUAUUCUAGUGAUAUGUUAGAACUAUUAUUGUAUUUAUUUUAGAAAAAGAAUAUAAGCUAGUAUAACUAAGGUUUGUAUUGGUGUGCGAUGAAGUUUUCUGAUUUUACACCAGUCACAGAUAAAUCACAAACUCAUCAUUCUUGUGCAAUCAUAGUUUUAUCUCGAAGGAUUUUAGUUUUACAUGUAUGUGUAGUUAUUCAUAUAUGAAAUUUUCAAUGUCAAUAAAAUGUGCCAAUCAUUUUAAGAA